RNAcentral lists this long non-coding RNA (423 nucleotides) under Mytilus galloprovincialis (Mediterranean mussel). The record is from RNAcentral. Lineage: Eukaryota; Metazoa; Mollusca; Bivalvia; Mytilida; Mytilidae.
ACGAGUUUUAGAUGACAGAAUAUAUUUCUUGAUUUCAUUGCGAUGUCGAGUUUCAUGACUGAAAGACAUAAAAUAGUUUGGAUUUAAAACAAUAAAGAUUCUCAAAUAAUUUGCACUAAUAGGCGCCUUUCUAUGAGGGCUUAAUAAGUAUUAGGAUAAACCAAAGUGUAAUCCGAAGUGCAACUGGAUUUAUGUUCUGACCAUUUACGACAAUUUGUGGAAUUCCGUCUUUUUAUAACUAAAUAACAGUUUACAGUUCGACCUAACAGGUCGUUAUAAAAUAAACCACGAAUAUGAACUGACACUAAGUAAGACAAAUUUGUCUGGUUAAUAUAAAGCAGCUUUGAUUAUAUCAAUAAACCGGAAGCUGUAUAUAUACUAGUAACCAAAAUGGCCGCUGCUGUCCUUAAGUUACUUUUUAAG